Molecule: non-coding RNA, 193 nt
Filed under: Siansivirga zeaxanthinifaciens
Lineage: Bacteria; Pseudomonadati; Bacteroidota; Flavobacteriia; Flavobacteriales; Flavobacteriaceae
Source: RNAcentral
AUUUUUGCACCGAAAUUAGGUUUUAUUCAUUUCACGUGAAUAAAUUAAAAGGGAAUCUGGUUAAAAUCCAGAACUGUUCCCGCAACUGUAAGCUACAAAGCUUCAUGUUAAACUUCAAGUCACUGAAGAAUUUCUUUGGGAAGACCAACAUGAGGACGCAAGUCAGGAGACCUGCCAAUUUCAAACAAAAUAA